RNAcentral lists this ribosomal RNA (494 nucleotides) under uncultured bacterium. RNAcentral describes it as "partial 16S ribosomal RNA". It matches the Rfam family "Bacterial small subunit ribosomal RNA", at positions 28 to 507 of the family's 1533-position model. The record is from RNAcentral.
GACGAACGCUGGCGGCGCGCUUAACACAUGCAAGUCGAGCGGAAAGGCCUGCUUUCCCUUGUGGAUUGCGGGUACUCGAGUGGCGAACGGGUGAGUAACACGUGAGUGAUCUGCCCCCAACUUGGGUAUAAGCCUGGGAAACUGGGUCUAAUUCCCGAUAGGACUGCAGGGUGGUGCCUGUGGUGGAACACGAUUUUCUAGUGGUUGGGGAUGAGCUCGCGGCCUAUCAGCUUGUUGGUGGGGUAAUGGCCUACCAAGGCGGCGACGGGUAGCCGGCCUGAGAGGGUGGACGGUGGCAUUGGGACUGAGAUACGGCCCAGACUCCUACGGGAGGCAGCAGUGGUGAAUAUUGCACAAUGGGCGGAAGCCUGAUGCAGCGAGGCCGCGUGGGGGAUGACGGCCUUCGGGUUGUAAACUCCUUUCGACCGCGAGGAAGCCACCUGGUUGGAAGGGUGGUGACGGUAGUGGUAGAAGAAGCACCGGCUAACUACGUG